RNAcentral lists this long non-coding RNA (5671 nucleotides) under Sus scrofa (pig). RNAcentral's name for it is "lncRNA (ENSSSCG00000063305.1)". Lineage: Eukaryota; Metazoa; Chordata; Mammalia; Artiodactyla; Suidae. The record is from RNAcentral.
CCAUAAUUUCUGGACUGCUUGUUAAGUGGUGAAUUUGAACUCCAAUUAAUUUAGGCUUCUGGAGUCAGAUUAUUGUUAUUUGCAGCCAAGAGUUAUAGCAGCUGGUCCAAACAUCUUCUGCCUUUGGAAGUAAAACCACUUAGGAAAGUUGGAAAAUAAAAAGAACUCUUGAUGCCACCACAAUGAGUAUCUCACUAUACUGCUAUUUGGUCUUUCAAGUUUAUGUAUGCUUGCAUAUUUUCUUUAUAUAGCUGUUAUCAUACAAAGCCUUCCAAGCUAUAAGUUUUAAUAGCUGCCUUACACCCCUGCAUAAUUAUUUUACCCAUACAUUUUUGUUUGGCAUGUAGGUUGAUGGCUUUUUUUACAUUAUAAACAAUUUAUGAGCAUAUUUGUGCACACCACAUUUUUCAUAUUUCCUUAGAUAGAUUUCCAGAAAGGGAUCAAGGCAAAUGAACGAUUCUAUGACCUGUAAUACAUAAAGUCAAAUUGCUUUCUAAAAGGGUUACAGUAAUAUACACUGCUACCAACAAUGGCUAUAUCCAUUUAUUUACUUUUUUUUUCUACACUGAGUAUUAACAUGAAAAAAUGGCUACUUUCAUGAAAAUAAGAAUAUUUUAAAAGGGGUGAUUUUAAUUCAAGACACUCUUGGACAUUGUUCUCUCUCUUUGCUGCCUCUUUCUUGCUAGUAAAUGAACCAUUAGACUCCUAUAGUGUAUAAUCUGAAAGCCAAUCUAUCUUUCAAAUGCUACCUAACAAUUACACUACCUUAUAUAGACAGAAUCUUCUGUAUUGAAGAAACUGCAAUACAGGAAUGAUCUCUAUUCAAUGAGGGAAGAAAGCUAAUUUCAGAAAGUGCAAAUGACUCACCCUAGGUUGUAGAGCAAAAAAAGGAAAGAACUUACAUUUCUGACUUCAAGUCAAGGGCUCUUUUGAGCGUGACAUAACCGCUUUUUCGCUUCAACAUUGGUGCUAAGCAAACCCCACAAUUCCAACCCUGACUUAGAUGACCGAUCCAAAAAUAAAUUAACAAAGGCCUGGUAGAAACCAAUUAGUGGAAAGAAGCAAAUUUAACAGAGUGAGUCUGUAUUUUAUAUUACCUUUUCCUUUGUUCUCUGAGUAUAUAUUAUGGGCACUUUUAACUAUGAUGUGAAGCACAGCAUAGAAGAACAAGGGAAACCACAAAGCAGAGUCUGUUAUGAGCAGGGCAAAAGCAAAUUUUAUAGAUAAGAGAUAAUUUUAAAAACCCUAAUGGUAUAGAAUGUUUAUCAAAAGAGGCAGGCCCAUAUCUAUAGAGCAUGGUCGCUUCAAAGAGAAAAAAAGUAGUAAUAAUGGGUAAAACCAGUGUCUCCUGGGUCAUCCAGUAGGACAGCUAUGGAGGCAGGAUCACUGUUAAGUCAAGUUGAAGAUGAGCACUCUGGAUGAUCUGCUGGAUGCUGGUGUCAGUGAAUGUUUACCAGUUGGUGUGCAUUUACCAGAAGGUUUUUGGAAAAAAGAUAUUGGUUACAUAAGCUUGAACACAAAAUCAAGUUAAGGUAAUAAGAUUUUCGAGGCAAAAAAAAAAUUAAGUCUAGUAAUAGAAAGAAGAAAAUAAAAUCAGGACAUAUAAUUGACAUGGGGCAAUGGGUCUAACUUAACUUCCAUCCUUUACCCCUUAGAUCUAGCAGGAAACUACACCUCAGGACUAACAGAAAGUAAAGUUUAACAUGUGACCUUUGGCUCACCAUAUCUCUUUUUUCACAUGUUCCAAGAAGAUGCUCACAAAGAAAACACUGCACAUCUCCCAAGAAAAACUCAUGAGGAGUUAAGAGGAAAACUUCUUCUCCCAAGACUUAUUCUCCUGACAUCUUAAUUCUGAGUCAGCUGCACCAUAAAAGCAAAUCAGGACCCAAGCCACUACACAAUGGACAUUCUGAAGCAAGCUGGAUGCCCUCAUGAGACAGGUGGUUCUCAACAUCUAGAGAACAAUUUCUUUCUUUCUUCCUACACUUGCAAUGGAGUAGAGAAGAAUUCCAACUAUUAGUUAGUUAAGGGCAGGGCUAAGGUUAAAGGGGAGUGACAGGGGGACAAAAACCAUAGUGGAAAAGAAAAACAAAAGGAGAUGAAAGAUGAAAUAGAGGCAACAAGGCUGGCCUCCUAGUCCUCUUUGGAGCUAGGAUGUAUGGGACAAUGAGAAGGUCCUGGAAGUGGACCACUCAUGUUUGAAUUCUGAGUUUUCCAUCUAUAGUAUGAUGGUGAAUACAUCACUGAGUCUUUUAAUCCUCAGUAUUUCCAUCUGUAAAAUGGAAAAAAUUAUACCUUUCUCAAGAGGUUACUGAAAAUUAAAUAUAAUCAUAUAAAUAUAAAGCACACAAAUUACUAUUUUUAUAAUAUGGUCAAAGAGGAUAUUUUUUCCAAAUAAAGAGGGUAUUUUCUUUCUUCAAAUAAACAUCUGAGCAGGAAGAAAGCAUCUACCAAGUGUGAGUAUGAAUAACUCUGUAUGUGUGUAUAAAACUUAAUACCCUAGAUAUUUUGGGAAAAUUAACUUCUUUUCUUUAUUAAAACUGCUCAAAAUGAAGAUGACAUUACUUCUACUGAGUUUGGUGUCUAGCACAUUGUAGGUUCUUAAUAUUUAUUUGUUGAACACAUAAGACUCAAAAAUACCAUUAAAAAUGAAGCUGAAUGAAUGUCAAGCAGCUAAUUUGUGAGGUCUGGAAUUUUUACAUAAGCAGUUUCAUCUUUACUGUGCAGGUGACCCUUUUUCAAGAAAACACAGAAAAACAACAAUGUGGGAAACUCACAAAUCCAUUCCUAUCCCCAAUUUCAAUCUUAGGGAAUGAAUAAUGCUUGUGUCACAGGUAAGCCUGUGCCAUGUACCAGUUAACUAUGACUGUGCAAUAAACCAUCCCAAGACACAAAGACUUAAAGAUUUCUUGUCUCCUUGUCUCUUAACCAUUCUCCCUAUUGGAUGGGCAGUUCAUUUGCACCUUUCACUUUAAUUCACUCAUGCGCCUAUGUUUAGCUAGAGAAUAGGCUGAACUGGAAAGCCCAAGGUGGCCUUAUUCACAUGUCCAGCAGCUGGAGAUGGCUUUCAAUGGCAUGGUAGGAGGAGAACAGACGGAGAACGGCAGGUCGCUUUUCCUCUCUGUGGCCUCCCUGAGGUUAGAUGGGCUGCCGGUCACGGUGGCCUCAGGACAGCUCUCCAAGGAAGGAAAAUGAAGCCACAGGUUUCCUAAGACCUAUCCUUGUAGACACACAAUGACAUUCCUUCCACGUUUGGGCAAAACAAGUCAAAAAGCCGUCUGGAUUCGAAGAGUGAGAAAACAGACUCCAAUUCUUUCUGGGAGUUACUUGGCAAAAACACCAACACGCCAGGAUACAUGGAAUUUGUGGUAAUCUUUUUCUUUUCAAUACAGAGAAUCAGUGUCAAUUGUGGCCCUUUGCUACCAAGAAGGCCCCAAGUACAUUUUCUCUAGACUCUAUGCACAAAAACUAUUUUAAAUUUAUCAAGUUAUGAGGUACAAAGUAAAAUGCAAAGGAAUUCUGAAGCCAAAAAUUACAACUAAAGCAAAAAUGAUAUUAAACACCUGAUCAGAGCCCAGAAAUGAGUUUCGAAGUAGAGACAAUUUUAAAAUAAAAAAACAGACAUGUAGAGUAGACCAUCAUGUUAAUUAGGCUGAUCUGAUCCUAGAAGCCAUAAUUUUUGCAUAAAUUUGCUAUGAAUGUGACUGUUUGGUAAACUGUAAGUUCCUUUGAAACAGGAUCUGCGUUUUCUCAAAUGCCAACAAUUAUUAAGCGUCUUAAUAAUUGCAAAAUACUUAAGUUCUCUAAGCCUCAGUUUCCUCUUGUGUAAGUUAAACCUAAGAGUAAUAUUACUCGCUUAGGUUUAUACUAAGAAGUGAACAGAAUCUAAGUUUAUCUCUGCUGACACAGGAUCAAUUUUCAGUAACUGGUAGAAAUAAAUGAGAUCUGUAACUAGCCAUUGCCUGGUUUCCAAUCCUAAAUCCUACUAAGCCCUACUUCGAAACUGUUAACACCCCAGGAAAAUAAUAAACUUCAUUAUUUAAACUGUGGAUUUUUCUUUGAGCUCUAAAAGGGUGAGGUUAUAGAAACCUAAGAAAGAUAGUAGGUAAUUUGCCUUUUAUUUUUCUUCCCAAAAUCGGUUUAUUGGGAGAAUUUGGGAAGCAAGCGCCCUGAGAAUACUUGAAGAAGGACUUCUAUGAAAAUCUUAGCAGAUAAAAGUACUGUGACUGACAAGCUUCCAAGGUGAUGAUACCCACUGAAGAAAGUGCUCAGGAUGGUAGGAUAUCCUCAAAGCAUAUAGUAGAAUUUAACUAAAGUAGUGCUACAAUCAACAGUAAGCUUCCAAUUGUCAUAUAACAUUCUGAUGCAGGAAAAACAUCAAGUAGUUUUCUUGGAACCAUAAAACAAUGAACAGCCAUUGAUCACUUUCUCCUGUGAGAGAGAGAGAGAAGCUGAGCAAUCCCUAUGUACACACAAACCCAUGUUGUGCAAAUGUUUGUAUGUGCCAUGCUAACGUUAGCAACUUUUCCAGCUACAGAGGGAUGUGUGGUUGUGUGUGUGUGUUAAUGUGUACACACCUGCACGUGUGUUUGCAGUGUGUGUGAUUAACAUCUUUUAUGCCUACUUGCAGUUUUGUCUUCUCUUCAUAUCAGCCUUGCUUCCUGAAUAGUCUUUUUUUCGAUGUUACUCCUUCACUAAUUGAGCAAAUGUGAUAAUUUGUAAUGGGUCUCCAACUCAUUAGUGUAAUUUAGUCAGGUUCUACUAUAUUUCGCCAGACACACCAACCAGGCUGCCGCUCACAUCUGUUUUUAGAGCUGUAUUUCAUAAGCAUCCGCAACAUUUCUGCUUUAAAAUUGAGAAAUGAUUGCCCCUUAAUCAGCUAUUUGUUAUCCUGAGCUACAUAAAUAUAUGCAGUGUCAACCACAAAUAACCUUAGGAUAGAACAUAGCAACAAUUAACAUUUGCAUAGAGCUUUAAAGUUUACAAAGCUUUUUUUGUAAGAAUGUCUAACUAUCUAAACAAAAUCCCAGUUAUUCCCCUGUGAGGGAAAGUAUGACAUAUUUUUUAAAUAACUUAUAAGGCAGAAUACCAUAAUACUUCCAAAAAUAGUUAUUGAGUCAGCCAGGCCUCUGCCAUGGGAUCUUGGCCAUUUAUUUAACCUCUCUGCGGUUAAAACUUCCUACCUUUAACAUCUAUAUAAUAUCUACCUCAUAUUAUUGGAAAGCUUGAAUUUUUCAUAAUGAAUACAAAGUUGUAGACACAUAGUAAAUGCUAAAUGAAUGCUAGGUGUUAACAUGAAUUUUGCAGAUAGGAACACUGUCCUUACUUAAAGAUGUUUACAUCAAAUAAGAGAGACAUGAGAGAGUUGUUAAGUAUAUAACUAGGGAUGCAGGCUGGGAAGACAUGGAGUUACUAAGAAAGGCAGUGUUGCUGCUCCUUACUGCUAGCCAGAAGGCUGGUGAGAUGAGCAUUAAAGCUCAAUAUCACAAGGCAGGAGCUAGCAGAGGCAAGGCCUCUAAGCUGAAGCCCUUCAACUUAAAACCACGUAAGUGUACGAAAUCGAGAUUAGAACAAAGAGUGCAAAUUUGAAAGCAAUCAAAGGUGUUACCAGAGAAGAAGGUGGGCCCAAGACAGAUACUGUAAACCUAGAGCAGAGGAUGAUGCUGAAGGU